UAAUUUAAAAGUAAGUUUUCAAGUAGCUAGAGUGUGCUUGGUUGAAAAAAAAAAUAAAAUAAAAAGAAAGUGCUUUUGUUGUAGCUAGAAGCAGAAACAUAACGAUCGAUCUGAGCCUCAAAAAUAGAAGUUUCAAAUUGAUACUUUUCGGUUUUAACAUAUUUAUGGUAAUUUAAUGUUGUAGUUUUUUAAAAAAUAAAACUACUCAGACGACGACACUUAAUUAAACAUCAUUACACGGUGGAGCAGAUCCAAACAAAUACUUAACUCUAAAUUUAAGAUUAAGAUACUUUAAGAUGUAUUUAUUUUAAUAAAACAAUAUAGACAAUAAUAUUUAAUUAAAUAUCAUUGUCUGACUUUUAGCAAUUAAUUACUGCCAUAAAAAAUAUUUUUAAUAAAGUAUUAAUGGCCAUACUUUUAGUUCUGAAAUUUUAAGUCCCACAGUCAUAUUUAACUAAUAAAUAUUGAUGUGCUGCAUUUGUGCCAAAAAUAUAAUAAUGUAAUGAAUCACAAAAUCACAAAAUAAUAAUUAAGAUACAUUACUCCCACGUCAACGACAUAUUAGCCUCUAGCCAACUAAAAUAGGUUGCGGGAUUUUAUUCUAUCAAUUUCAGAAGUUCGACCCAGAGAUUGAAUUAAACAUAUUAAACUUUGAAGGGCAAAGCAUCAUGCCCUUCAUAGUUUGAGGACCAACAGUAAAAUCUAGCCCUACUUUUUAGAGAGACAGAGAAAGGUAGCAAGAUAUCUGCUUUGUUACUUUUUCGGUACUAACUAGUAAAUUCUUAGCCAACUGCGAUAGAUAUGAUUGAUAGUUUGGCAUAAAUUAAUGUUCGAUACCUCUAACGCUUAACGUUGUCGACAGUCUGGCGGUCCUUCGUGGAGCGUGUUGUUGGGAAGAAGAGAUAGCACGACGGCAAACCUGGCUAGCGCCAUGAACCUUCCGAGCCCCUUCGAUACCCUAAGCAAACUUCGGUCCAAGUUCUCCAAUGUCGGCCUCAGCGACACCGAUCUCGUCGCCUUGUCGGGUUAGUCGCUCCGCAAAAUCUCAAAAAUCAUACAUUUUUCUCGUCUUAUAUUAAAUUCUGAUCUUAUUUUGGUCUAUAAUUUAACAGGUGCCCACACAUUUGGUCGAGCACAAUGUCGGUUCUUCAACCAACGCCUGUACAACUUCAACAACACAGGCCGACCCGACCCGACCCUAGACACGACCUAUCUGGCUACGUUACAGCAGAGUUGCCCUAAAAAUGCAAACCUAAACGGAUUGAACAAUCUCGACCCGACCACGCCCAAUAAGUUCGAUAAAAACUACUACUCCAAUGUCGAGAACAAACGCGGCCUCCUCCAGUCCGACCAGGAGCUGCUCUCGUCGUCGGACGCGGCGUCGACCACCGCACCGAUCGUAAAUAGUUUCGCCAGCAGCAAGAGCACCUUCUUUCGCGCGUUCGCGACGUCGAUGAUCAACAUGGGGAAUAUAAGCCCGUUAACCGGGAGUCGAGGGGAGAUUAGAAGUAAUUGCAGAAAAAUAAAUGGAAGUUGAAGGAUUUUUACAAAAAAAAUUUUGCAUCGGUUGAAUAAGUUCAAAGGUGUGUGACAAAUUUAUUGUAUGUGUAAAAUGAAAAAUAUAAUUGUGUUCUCAAUGAGAGAGCAUAUGUGUACAACAAAUUAUUUGUUUCUCUUUUUUUUUUUUUUUAAUGAAAUAAAGAGGGGAGCUUUAAGUGCUCUUUGGAGUGUUAUGAACAAGUUAAUUGUAUGGAUCGAUACCAUUAAAUUUUAGGGGUUUAUUAUUAUUCAAAAUUUUUAAAUUAACCCACUGCAACAAAAACGGUCCAUAGCGACACUUUUAAAUGUAGGUACAUGUUAAAAAAGUGCUGCUAGCUAAAAUUACCGACACUUUUAAAAAGUGUUGCUAUAUGUGGGAUCGCUAGGUAUAUAGUGACAGUUAAAGAGUGUCGCUAUAACCUAAAAAAGUGCUGCUAAUUUACCAACACUUAUUUAAGCAUUUAGCAACCGCCAAAACUCUAUCUCGUUGGCUGCGGUAGCGGAGGAGGACGACAGUAAAGGCUCUUCCUCUAGAAUUUCAGUGGAUUGAGUGAAGAGAGAAGAAAAGAUGGUAAUUGAUUUUUCUUUUUUUUUUUUCUUUUCUGUUUGUAAUCGGACCAAAUGGACUAGGUGUGGUGAGUUGAGUUGAGUAAUCUUUUUUUUUUGGUUGGAUUGGGCUUUGUAUUUAGGCAUUAGUAGAUGUGUUUUUAAGUUUUAACAUAAAUGGGACACUUACUUAAAAGUGUUCCAAACAUGUGUCCCUAUAACCUAAUUCUGUUGUAGUGACCUUUUUAUUCUCAAAAGUUAAGUAAUUACUUACUCCACUAAAUUUAUGAUUUCGAAAAAUUACAUAAAAUAUAUUAAUUAUACUCAUAAAUAUAAAUAUAGUAUUCAAGUUUCUAAAUCAAUGUGCCGUUAACGGACUCCAGUCAAAUAAAUUGAAAGAUUAGAUAAUAAAAUUAAAAUUUUAAAAGAUUAAAUGGCCCAUUCAAAAUGAUCUAUAAUUCAAAUAAUUAAAAUUCAAGAUUUUAAUUUUACUAUCAAAUCUUUCAAUUUAUUUGAUUUGAAUCAAUCAGCGGCACUUUAGCUUCAAAAUUUUAAUUCGUCAUUUAUCUUCAAUAGAUUCAUUUAGUAUAUUUUAUAUAAUUUUCACAACUAUAAGUCUGUUAAAUAAAUAAUUAACUUAAAUUUUUAAGUCAAAGUACCAUUGACCAAUUAAAAUCAAACAAAUUUAAAAUUUUGAAAAAUUGGAUAGGCAAAUCCAAAUGAUCCAUGAUAAGUUUCGUACUUUUUACCUAAAAUUUGUUCUUUAUAUAAAGAGUAAACUUCAAAUGCCACCAUUGUGGUUUCGCACUUUUUCACUUUAGUACCCUGUGGUUUAAAUUAUAUCAAGUUAAUAUCUUGUGGUUUUAUUUUUCUCUUUUCGUCAGCUCCUCCGUUAAUAUUUCGUUAAAUUAUAUAUAAAAAACUUUAUAUAUCCACCUAGGUUUAUCGAAUUUUCAUUUUAGUACCCUUUAGUUUUAACUUUGUCACUGAUUUAACGAAAAAGAAAUGGUGAAAUGGAUAAUAAAAAGAAAAAAAUGAAAUCACAGGGUACUAAAUUGAUACACAAAUCAUAGGGUACCAAAAUAAGAAAGUGUGAAACCACAUAGGUGGUAUUUGAAAUUUUCUCUUGUAUAAAAGAACUAAAGAAAAAUUGUUAAAAAUUUAGGGACAAUUAGUGUGGAAAUAGAGAUGUCAACGGGUCAGAUUCGGGACGGAUUUUUAAAAAUUCGAAUCCGAACCCGACUUCAAACCCGAGACCCGCACCCUAACCCGAGCUCGACAGAUUUAAAAAUUCAUAUCCAAACCCGAAUCCGACCAAAAUUCUAAAACCCAAACCCGAAAAUUUGAACACGAAACAAUUAUUUCUUUUUUCAAUAUUUCAAAAUAUAUUAUAUUAAAUCUAAAUUUUUAAAAUACAAAUUCAAAAAUAACAUCAAUUAUUAUAUAUAUAUAUAUAUAUUAUAUAUUAUAUAAUAUAUAUAUAUUUUAUAUAUAUUAUAUAUAUAUGAUAUAUAUAGUAUAAUACCAAAUAAAUUCGGUAUUCGGGUUCGGCGUUCGGGUUGGGUACAGUCAAAAUCUAUCCGUGGAAUUUCUAUUUUUAAUAUCCAUAUCGAAUCGCAUACCAUUUAAUUAGCUAUCGAAAAUAUCCGUUUCUAUUCGGGUUCUGGUUCGGAUAAAAUUUCAGGAUAUUCCAUACCCAUUAAACAUUUCCUAUGCGGAAAUGAAAAUUUUAGGACCAAAAAGACAUUUCUUUUGAAUGUCUGGGGCUAUGUGGCAAUUUACCACCUUCUUCGUUUACCGUGAGAUAAAGUGCGGUUAAAUCCAAACCCAAAAAGAAGAGAAGAAAGAAAAUGAAAAAUCUCACGCGCAAUGUCGACCUCCGCGGCCCCUCGAACCGUCGCCGCCCGCCUCCCUUCCUCUCUCUCCGUCUCAUCCCCACCAACCAUACCUCUCUCCUCCCCAUCUCCCUCCCCUCCCACCCGCGCUCCUUCUCCCUCUCCUCUCUCCGAAACCCUAUGCUCCCCUUCCCCCCCUCCCCCUUCCUCCCCCGCCGCCGCCGCCGCAGCUCUACCCCGUCGCAGUCGCCGUCGCCGCCGGUUCCCACCACCGCGCCCUCUGCGGCAUCGGCUUCCCCCCGAAGCCCUCCUCCCGCGCGCCGCCGCCGCCCCUGGACCAAUCCGUCACCGUCGCCAACCCCGCCGGGUACAUCCCCAACGCGAGCCCCACCGCCGUCAUGAACCUCCCCGGCGCCGCCGCCGCCCCCCAGGCCCGGCCCUUCGUGUACGGCGUCCCCGAUCACGCGGCGGCGCACGCGAUGAGGCCGCCGCCGAUGCAGGCGCAGCAGCCCCUGCCGCCGCUCGCCAUAGCUAGGCCAGUCGCGGCCGCUGGAGGAGGCGGCAGCGGCGUGGUCUCGCUUGCGGUGCCUCCGAAGGGCGUUCCUGCUGCUGCUCAUUCUAAGGUCUCUUCUUUUCUUUCAACUCUCUCUUUCAUUAGAUUCAGUUAAUAAAGCCGUAAAAAACGUAUAAAACUUUUCUCUACUAUAGGCUAUUUGAUUUGACUACCCAACCUUUCAAAAUUUCAAUUUUAGUACCCAAAUAAUUCGGCAGUUCUUCGGAUACAGAAUUUAAACUAAUUGUUUACUUUAAUAAAUUUAUAGUUAUGUAAAUUAUAUAAAGCAUACUGUGUAAACCCGUGAAGAUUAAUGAGGCAUUCAAAAUUUGAAGAUAAAGAGUCACUAAUUGGAUCAAAUUAAAUAAAUUAAAAGGUCAGAUAGUAAAAAUCAAAAUUUUAAAGAUUAGAUAGUCAAAUUCAAAUGGUGGGUGAUGGUUGAGGUAAGCUUUAUACAUUUUCACCUAACAAAGAUUGAACUUGAAUGAGAUGUUUGAGGACUCUGUCUUAUGUUAAUCUUGUGGUAGCUUUUUCUGAUUCUGCACUUCAAAUAGUCUUAAAGAUUGUUUCUUUCUUAGUUUUUCGGUUGGGAAAGGGAGAGAGGUGUAUUUCAGUAAUGAAAUGUUAUAGGGGAAAAUAUCAUGGUGAAUGUAUGUGCUUUCUUUGUAAAUUUUCAAUUAUUCAUCUACGUUAGGAAUUUGGACUUUUGUAGGGGAAUGAUAAGCCUAAGUUUCACUACUUCUCGGUGUAUUUCAUUAUGAUAGGAUUCAAUUCUACACAAGUAAUUGUAGAUUUUCUCUCCUUAUUGUAUUAGAUACUUUCCAGGAGAGUGGAUAUAUAUGUUUUUUUGCAGGGUGAAAAAUAAUGAAAGUACUAGGUUUCCAAGAAUGCAUGGUUGUGUGUUUUUUUUUCCUUUUGUUUUUUUUUGAGUUAACAAUGUCUUGUUCCUUUCCAUUUUAUUUGUUUCACAGAUCAUUUUGUUGAGAUAAAUUCUUUUGUAUGUCUAACUUGCUUAGGUUUGCUCGUUGCCAACCGUAUCUUCAGCUCAUGAUUAUGGCAACUCUAAGGAGAGGUAAUAUGCAAGAUCCAACAUUGGUCUACUCGGUUGAAUUUUCUUAUUGGACAUAGGCACUUAUGUGUGUCAAACUUCUUGCAGGGAUAGGAGCGGAGAAGAUACUCUGAUGACAAUUCACAGCCGAAAAGUAAGUAAAUCAUUACAAGUUUCCGAAGUUUUGAAAGUUAGAGUUGGGAUAACAAUGCAUGGAAUAAGCUAAUUAUGCUUCUUGGAAAUUGUUUGACCAGAUUUAGGCCUAACUAGGUAAUGCAGUAGCCAUGCAACACCCUCUUUAAUGCUUUAGAGGGUUCAAAAAGUUCAGGAGUGCUUUGGAACUUACCUCCUCAAAUGCUAUAAAACGAUGGUGGGAAUUGGGAAACACCAUCGGCUGAUGCUUCUCCGAUAGCAGUUCCCACCAGCAUUUUUUAGCAUCAGAGUAGGGAAGCUUGCGCUUCCAAAACUUUUUCGGUCCUCUCAUGUAUCAAAGCAACCAGAUUUGAAGCAUUCCCAAACUAGGCACUAGUCGGCAGAUGUUCUUAAGAUGGUUGAAAGUGAUGAACAGAUUUAAUCCUCUAUAUCACAAAGGAUCCUGAUAUUCUCUAUGCAGACAUUCCUAUUUUACAUAGAGGAAGUUUGUCCAGAAUUUGGACGUUUAUGAAGAAACAUGCUUGGUAACUUUAUGCAUGGUGACAUCUUAAAUGAAGGGGAGAAUAUUUUCUUAAAAUCUUUAAUAGGUGGAAUUUUCAAUAUCAUAUGGGGAAAUAUAAUCUACAUUGGAAGAGAAAUUAGUAAAUGUUAAACAAGGUAUGGUUGGGUUAGUUUUUUUCCGGAUUUGGAGUCUAGGAUGGUGAAAUAUCUAUAGUCUUCAUGAACUUGCUUUUAUUAGUUGUGAAUGUUGUGCAUGAGAUAACUUUACUGGCGAUUUAAACUGAAGUGGUGGCAAAAGUUCGCAGUGCCAGAGAAGGAAGUCAAACAGAAAUGAAACAAGUUAAGAGAGGAAAUGGGAAAGGGCACGGGCAUGCUUUAUAUCAAUUUAUUUUUUACAGCACUAAUAGAUGAAAGAUAUGUUGACUAAAACUGUCUGAUACAAGUCUUAAACUGUUUCUUUCAGUAGAUUUUUGUUAUAUUUUGACAUAGAUAGUGGAUGAAGGGUGUUUUAAGCCAUUUUACUAAUGGUUAUGCUUUCAGGGAUAUUAUGAACAAGCCAUGGUACUAUAUACAGUAUUAAACGUGUGAUAAAGACCUUCUAUCCUGGUUGACCAAACCAAAGCCUACUUUUGUGACAACAUCGUAUAGAUAUUUUUCUGUCGUACAAGGGAAGGAUGUUUAGCCAUUACCUUUCACAAUUAGUUAUCCAAGCUAGCUGACAGAAUGUUACUUUUGUUUUUUCAUCUUCGAAUGAAGUUUUUCACUGAAAAUGCUCACAUGACAUUCUUUACAUUACAAGCAUUUAAUGUUGCACCUUGUCAUAUGAAAUCUAUUAUUUUAAUCAAGUCAGUUUACUUGCCUGUGAGAAAAUAAAACUUGUGUGUAUACACUUCAUUUGUUGGCUAACACUUACGGAAACUUCUCUUGUCAAAUAUGUCAAAAUGUUCUUUAUUGAUACUUUUUGUUGUUUAUACCUCAUGAUUUUAUUGCGGUUUUGAAGGUCCGGAUUUUGGAUAGCGAGUCACCCUCCUUAUAUUCCCUUUGUCGAGCUUGGCUACGAAAUAGUGUGCCGCAUGAGAGUCAGGUUCGUACACACCUUUUUUGUAUUUGAGACUUGGUUACCAUGUCAAGGACCAAACUUCUGUUGAACUCCUGUUGUUCCUGCAUUCCAUCUUUCUGUUUCAGUAAAAUCUUGGUAUGGCAGAUGCUAUUUGGUAGUUCUGGAAAACGUUAAGAUCUCUUUAUUUUGAAGUUAGAAUCACCCUAAGUCUGAACCAUAUGUCCACUGCCAGUAAGGAUUUUUCUGCACCAUCUGUAUGUUGCUUGGUUGUCUUGCCUUCUGAGAUUUGAAACCAGCUGUAUAUACUACAUCACAAAAUAGUAUUUGAUAUUGCUUUUACAAUAUUUAUUUUCUCAUCAGAUCAACAAAAGAAAUAGAAAAUUGCAAAGAUUGGAAAAUUCUUAUUAGUAACAGAGGAUGUGAGAUCAGAUAAAUCAAUUAUUAUGAUUGUUUAGUUGAGGAACAAUAAAUGGUCAAAACAGCAAGAGAAUUGAACAAAUAAGUAGUUUUGAAAAAUGUUGCCAGUAACAGAGGCUGUGGGAUCGGAGAAAUCAAUUAUUUAAGACAAAUUGUUGCUGAGCACAGCAACAGUGAAUUCCUUUCACAUCUACGAGGGACAUCUCUAUUGAUUCUUGUAGUUAUAAUAAAGCAUAGGUAUAUUUGAAGCCCAAAUAUGCCCCUUUAAGUGGAUAAUAACUGUUGACUAUCCAUCUGAGUGCUAAAAUGUAUUGUUUCCUUUAUUGGGAGCCAGGCAUGAUAGGCGUAGUCGAUUUUUGAAGGAUCUUGUUGAGUUGACCAAGUGCUGAGCUAAUUCAUGAAAUAACCGAUUUGAAACUGCUUCGACUUGUCAUUUCUGAUGUCAUUACUUCCUAAUGCAGUUUCUUUGGCAUGUCUGGAAUUUGAUUUCCUUUUGACUGAUUCUACAUAUUAAUGCAGAUAUUUGUCUUCCACAGUUUGGCUUUGAGUUUUUGGUCUGAACGUGAACGAGCUGUGGUGUCAUAAUCGCUACUUGCUUUCGUUGUAUUAGCUACAGAGUACAUGAAACACUCUCGAGCUCUGGUGUCAUAAUCCCUACUCACUUUCGUUGUAUUAGCUACAGAGUACAUGAACACUCUCGAGCUGUGGUGUCGUAAUCCCUGCUCACUUUUGUUGUGUUAGCUACAGACUACAUGAAACAGUCUCCCAUCAAGGCCUUAUUCUUCUCGCUUGUGUCCUUCAACUGAACUAACAAGCUAUUGCCCAAGUCCACCAGCACAACUCCCCUCCCGACNACAGACUACAUGAAACAGUCUCCCAUCAAGGCCUUAUUCUUCUCGCUUGUGUCCUUCAACUGAACUAACAAGCUAUUGCCCAAGUCCACCAGCACCACUCAUCUGCUUUUUUAACCUUUGCAGCCGGUCAUAAUGGAGUCAACUUGAUCGGCAAUUAUUAUCAGUGGCCUGGACAUAUUACUGUACAGCUCUUCCCACCUUCCUGUAUUUUGCAUGGCCUUCGCUUCAAUCAGAGUCAACAAAGCCAAUUGUCUUUCCUAACUUUACAUAAUUUGUUACUCUGUGUUUAAUUUUUAUUAUUCAGGACUGAUGGCUCUCUUAUCGUUUCGUUUUCCAUUCUAUUUGUGACUAAUUCGUUUGUUCAUUUUCAGCCAAAUAUUGGAAACAGUGUUGAGCUUCCAAAACCCUUGCCUGCUUCUAUGAUUGACGCUAGCAUAUUGAGGGACGAUGCAAAUGGCGAUAAGGAUGACGAAAGCAAUGUAAGAGGUUCAUUUUCAAUAUUGAUUUGCCAUCUUAAUUGUAUUAAUAUCUCGUUUUGAUUUCAUACAUGCGGUAGUAUGCCGACAGGCACGAAGAUAAUAGAUUAUUUCAUUGCAGUAAUCUCAUCUUUUCUUCUUAUACCAUGACAAAUUCUAGAAGAUACUAAUGUUUUCUAAAUUUGUAUUUUUCGGGUCAUAUAUGUGAAAUGUGUGAUUAUUCUAUUUCCUCUUGCAGCAUGUACGCUCUGCCGAAGAGUUAUCCACACAAGAUUUACUAAAUGAGCACAUAAAGCGUGGUAAAAAGAUUCGUGCUCGGUGAGUUCCAAUUUCUUUCUAUGGUAUAAUUAUUUAUUGAGCUGCAUACGAGUCAAUAAGAAAAAGUAUGCCAUUAGAUUUAAUAAUUAUAAACUUGAUUUUCGAAGAAACAAUUUUGUUUUCGAAGACUCAUUUUUUGCUUGUUAUGUUUGUUAUAUCAGAUUAUUAAUCGCAAUCAUAAAAGAAGGGAUCGAGUAUAAUGAGUUCCAAUCUACGGUUCUGCAGGUUGAGCAAAGAGCGCCGACUACGGAUCGAGAGGUACAGAGAAAGGCUCACCCUCCUCCUCCCUCCGAACCUUGAGACAGCGCGACACGAAACUGAGUAACUUCGCCUGCUUUUAAUCGCAUAAUCCGUGAAUUUAAACAAUUCUAACAAGAAAAAUAAGGGCUUGUACAGAGCAAUUUAUAGGUUAGGAUUUGUAGGAUGCACUUGUAUAUCCAAUGCUUGAUGUUCCUUUGUUCUUUCGCAGCAUCUGCUGCAUAGUGUUAAUUAGUUUCUACUUUCUGAGCUCCUAGUGGAGUGUAAAUGUUGCAUGUUUGAAGUGAUUCAUCAUCAUAGAGAGAAGGAUCAAAUCUUUUUUUUUUCUGAGUUUGAGCACAGGGUUUCUCUAUGAUCUUACCAUUUUGAAUAUGCAAUAUUUUAACAUGCAUGAAGUGUUUAGAAAUGUGAAUGAUUUAUUAUUAUUAUUAUUUUUAGCAUCAGUUUGAGUUGUUUAACAUCUGAGAUGAGAUCAUGUAGCUACAGCAACCCUUUGAUAUUUACUAGCUUAUCGUUUGCAAAAAUGUAUGAAGACCCCCUCACGUAUAUGCUCGUUAGGACUAGGCCCUUCAACUGUUUUUUUUUUUUUUUAUGGGUAAACUUCAAAUACCACCCCUAUGUUUUGCACUCUCUCACUUUCGUACCAUAUGGUUUAAAGUGUAUCAAGUUAGUAUUUUGUAGCUUUUUUUUUAUUUGUCAGCUCCUCUGUUAAUAUUUCGUUAAAUUAUAUAUAAAAAACUUCAAAUACCUCAUCUAGAUUUAUCGAAUAUUUACUUUAAUACUCUUUAGUUUUAACUUUAUCACUGAUUUAAUAAAAAAAAAUUAGUAGAAUGAAUAAUAAAAAGAGAAAGGUAAAAUCACAGGGUAUUAAAUUGAUAUAUUUUAAAUCACAUAAUUUUGAAGUGAGAAAGUGUAAAACUACAUGGUGGUAUUUAAAGUUUUUUUUUUUUUUAAUUCACAUCCGCUCAACUGCUUCUUUACAAAUUAAAUAAUUUUAGUUUAAAAAGAGUUUUUUUUCUUUCAAACUCAUAUUACUGUUCAUAUCACAUUAAAUAAUUUUAAUUAGUUUUUAAUAAUAAAAUUUAGAGUAAUUAAAUUUUAUAAAAUUUCUAACAAUUAGUAUUAGAACAUUAGGGCUACUAAUCAAAAAAAUUAAAAGGUCAGGGGUCUAUUCUGAAUGGCCAUAGUUGAAGGGCAUGUAUUUUUACCAAAAAAUAAUAAUAAUAAUAAUAAACUCUAAUUUUUGUUUAAAUUAGUUUUAGUUUCAGAUCAAAUAGUGAAAGAAAAAUUAUUUUUAUUUAAACUUUAAUAAAUACAUUUAGGGGCCCUUUGAUUGGAUGUAAUUAUAAAUGCAGUGUAGUUAAAGAUGCAUGCGGUUGAAAAUACAGCAAUUAUAAAUACAUGAAUCUUAUUUGGUUGGAUGUAGUAGAAAGCGCUGCAAGUAUAAAUAAUUUAUUUGGUUGCAUGCAAUUGAAAAAUAAUUUUUAAAAUUUUAUUAUUUUAUAUAUAUGAUGGUGAGAUUACCUCCAAUGUAAAAAAAGAAAAAAAAAAUUUGUUUAAAAAAUAUUGAAAAAGGUAAGCAUACCUUUUAUUUAAAAUUACUCACUCCAAUUGCUGUAGUUGGAACUGCGGUCAAUUAGGGUGUAGUUUGAACUGCAUUGUAGCAGUUGGAGUUAAAUAUAUCAAACCAAUCACGAAAUUUGUAUUUACAUAUAGUUACAACUGCAGUACAGUUACAACUACAUGCAACCAAACCAAACGGCCCCUAAAUGUAGCAGCUCUUCCCUGUUCAUACCGAGCUCCCUCUCUCUCUCUCUCUCUCUCUCUCUCUCUCUCUCGCCAUGUCUCCUCUUUCCGUCUCUUCGCUCUCCUCCUCCUCCAUUCCCACCAUUCCCAAAACCCUAACCCUAACCCCGACCCACCCUCUUCCCCGUCGCCUCCGAUUCAAACACCUACUCCCUCCACGCCGCCCCCUCUCCCUCUCCUCCCCUUCCUCCUACUCCCCUCUCCCCCUCAUCUCCGCCACCUCCUCCUCCAUCCCCGUCGAGGACCUCGUCGAGAGCGACUGGUCCUUCCUCGACCCCCCGGACGACGCCCUGGUGGAGUCCGCGGGCCCCUGCGAGCUCCUCGUCGCCGUCCACGAGUCGCUCUUCGCGCUCGCGAUGAUCAAGGAGGCCCACGAUCGCGUCCGGUGUUGGCAGGGCGGCGCCGCCGCCGUGCCGGAGAAGUUCGCCCCGUUCGACGCCGUGUUCGUUUGCUACUUCCCCGGGAUGGGGCUUUCUAUCGCAGAGCUCUUGGAAUCUCUCGCUCCGCGAUGUUCUCCAGGUUUAGAUUCGUCCUCUUCUUUCUCCUUCCUUGUUAAAUCUGCUUCUGCUUCUGCUUUUAGCAACAGCAUCAUCUAGUCGAGCUUUUGGUGACCAAAAUUUAUCUGAUACUUCUGCUGUACUUGGAAUUAAAGCUGAGAUUCUGAGAUCCAAAAAUAGAAACAUCAAUUUUGUGCUUCUACUUCUUUAGGAGAGAUUAUAUUAGAGGCACUUUAGUAUAACACUUUCCUAUUCAAACACCACUACACCCUUAAGUAGGGCUUGUUUGUCCUAGCUUCUGAAACAACUUAUCUACUCUAAGAAUUUAGGUUGUGGCCAGAAGCUUCUGGCCUGAAAAAUUUUAGAAAAAAAAAUAUUGUUGUGUUUUUUUUUCGAAUAGCUCUACUUCUAACUCCUUUGAAGUUUGUUUCUUUAGUUCAUGUUGUUGGAAUUAGGAAACAGUGAAAAUUUACAAACUAGAUAGCUAACGUAUUCAGAAACCGAAAUUGGAUUGGCUUGCUUGUUUACUAGCCGAGCAGUUCGAUCCUCCUUAAAUCACUUAUUAUAGACCAAUCUUUCAUGAUGGAGUUGUGCAUUAGUGCCUUCCGGAGGUACAGCUAUUUUGACUGAGAGGUUUUCAAGAACACCUUGUUUGUUUGCUAGUAAAUGAGUGUUAGUUCAAGUUAAUUGUAAUGGGAGUAGUCUUCGGUUGUAGAAAACAGCAAUCUUGUAGGUGAUUGUUAUUGCUGGCGCUGGGCGGAGUAAAUAUACGUGGUUAAUUGUUGAAUGUUGUUAGUGAUAGGGAUAAAGAAUCCUGUAAUGGGAUAUCACUUGCGAGAUUGAUGUUCCUUUUUCUGGGAAGAGAAUAGUAAGAGGAGUGAAAAGGAGAAAAACCGGAACAGCAAGAGGGCAUGGAUCAUCGACUCAAAAGCAUUGGUUUUGAAAUGGAAGUAGUUAGGGUUUGAUACUUCGGGAAAUACCUUUAUCUAUCUCUUCCUCUGUGAUUAUGAAUGUAUCCGUGUACUCGGAGAGUAUUUCAGGGCAAUAAUUUUGACCUUUUAUCUGUUGGAUGCCGCAUUGCAAUUCAAGGACGUGUCGAUUACGGAUCGGUUACUUGUGGCAGGCAUUGAGGUUCUUGCUUAUGCCCGCUAUUUGCGAUGUGCAUCCAAUGGAUUAAAAGUUGGAAGUAUUUGCCCUCAAAUUAGAAUUCUAUAUCAAAUUUUUGGGUGAUAUCAUUAUAACUUCUCUGAAGUAAAUUAAUCGGUGUUAGCUUUUCAGGACACUAUAUGAUUAUAGAACUGCCAAACUUCAACCGUAUUUCCGUUGCUACAUGACUAAAUUGCAAAUGACUUGACAGCAACCAACCCUUUCAAUUCGAUUAUACAUUUUUUAUUUUGCUUUUGACGAUUUCUUAUGCUGUUGUUAAGGUGCGAGAGUAGUCAUCUGCUUCGAUCAAGGGAGGCAGGUUGUCGAACAACAUUGGCAACAGUAUCCCGACAUGGUAACCGCCGACUUGCCUGACAAAGCUCUUCUGGAGAAGGCCGCAACGGAGAAUUCGUACCAGAUAACGGAAUUCGUCGAUGAGCCUAACUUCUACCUUGCUGUGUUAAGAUGUCAGAAAUAAGGAUUUUCAGUUCUGCAACAAGUGGUAACAAAGUUUUCUUUCUGGUGUAAAAAAGCAAAUACAAUUUUUUGUGUGCUUCCUUUUCCAGUUCCAUGCCAAUAUAAAUAUUGUUCGAGCAUGCUUGCAUAUGAAUCUUUUCUAAUGAUUUCUCAUUUGAUUCCGGAGUAGGAACAUAGACUAAUCAUUUUGAGUCGAUUAUUCAACCUUUUAAAAUUUCAACUUUAUUAUCCAGUCUUUCAAUUUGUUUGAUUUUACUGACUUUAAAAUUUGAGCUAAUUGCGUAUUUUAAUAAAUUUGAAAUUCUAAGAAUAGAAUGAAAUGUACUAACGUAUUCAAAUUUUAAAGUCAAAAUGUCAUUGACUGUCUCAAAUCAAACAGAUUGAAAGGUUGGAUAAUAAAAUUAAAAUUUUGAAAGAUUAGAUAGUCGACUCAAAAUGAUCUAUAGUUUAUGUAAGUUCUGUACGUUUUUAAAAAACGGAUUACCAAACGCUCUCGCAGCAAAAAUUAUUUUUGGACUUAAAAUUAUUUUCCAGAAUCUGGGCUAAACACCUCCUUCCUACAUCUUGAUUUUCCCUUUAAAUGAUGUAGAAGAUUACAGGGACCUAAUUUUUGUUUUUCAAAGCAGGAGAGACAUGAAAUUAUGAACCCUUUUUAUUUUAAUGGGAAGAAAGAGUGGAAAAGAGUUGUGAAGUUGUGCAAGUAACUUGCCCUAGAUUGGGAGGAUUCUAUUUCCUUAUCUAAUUAUUAUUUUGGAAAAAUUAGUUGGGGCAAUUGCUUAUAUAUACUUCUGAAAAUUUUUCAACUUUCUUAGUAUUAUUAAAAAUAUAUUUCUAGAGUUAAAUUCUCUUAGUAAAAAUCUUAGGAACAGCCAUUAAUUUUAGAAAAUCUCACCGACAGUCCCUAUAGCAAGUGACAAAGGGCUUGGUGGUUGGUACCCGAGACCCAAGUUUGAGUUCUAGUUGAUUCAUAUUUUCAGCUAAAUUUAUUUCUAAAUGAAAUAAACGAAGUGGAUAGCGUGCUACCUAACUCUCUCCUAAUGCAAUUGAACCCCUUAAUAUAAUAAUAUAUAGUAAGUAUAGGGCGAUACCACAUCAUUUAAACAAUAACUAAAAAAAAAAAAAAAAAAAAAAAAAGUUUCAUUUUGCUUUUUUAAAUAUACUUUUCUAUCAUCACUUUAUUUACCCAUAGGUUAGGAACAAAAGAAGUAUUUUAACUUUUUCACUUUUCAAAUAUAUUAUUUUUUUGCUCCAAUUUUCUUAUUUGCCCUUAAGUUAGGGACAAAAUAGGUAUUUUAAUUAGUUUUUAACUAAGGUAGAAAUUUAACUCAGAUUUAACCUGAAUUGACUUAACGGGCACUAAUAGCAGGAAUAUUUUUGAAUAACAGAGAAAUAUAUAAGAGGUACAUUUGAAACAAAAAAAAAAGAAAUAAAUAAAAUAUUUCAGAGGUUUUGAGAGGUAUGUCGGCAAUUAUUCCAAAUUAAUUUGUGCAACUUGCUUAAGAAUUAUAUUUUCCUUUCAUCACCUUAUUUAAGCAAAAAAAAAAGAAAAAAAAAAAAGCAAGGAAAUAAAAUUUAAAAAAGCAAAAUUUAACACGUCGCCUGAGAGAUUCGAACUCUCGCGGGGAAACCCCAUGUACUUAGCAGGCACACGCCUUAACCACUCGGCCAAAGCGACGGUUGAUACUUUAGUAUUUAUAUAUUUUGAAUUUAACAUAAUAUAUUAUAUACCUUUUAGUAUUUUAAACCCCUCAACACUUAUAAAAAUAUCAUAUAUAUAUAUAUAUAUAUAUANAAAUUGUAGGAUUAGAAUGAUAUUAGUCCCCUAGGGUUGAGUGGUCCCUACUGGGUUAUAUAUAAUAUUUAAUCCAAUGGUUAGAAAUGAUGAAAGGAGUUGAGCUAAAAGUUAAAAACUUGAUAGCAAAAGGCCCAUUUUGCUAUCAAGUUUUUAACCCUUUGAUGAGAAAUUGUAGGAUUAGAAUGAUAUUAGUCCCCUAGGGUUGAGUGGUCCCUACUGGGUUAUAUAUAAUAUUUAAUCCAAUGGUUAGAAAUGAUUAUAGGAAUUGAUCCAAAGGCUAAAAACUUGAUAGCAAAAAGGAUCUUUUACUAUCAAUAGUAUUCUAGCCCAACUCUAUAUACAUAUAUAUAUAUAUAUAUAUAUAUAUAUAUAUAUAUAUAUAUGUAUAGGCUGGGGCUACUAUACUCUUAUGAAUAUAGACCCCUUGUACUCAUAAAUUUUUAACCGUUGAUUAAUAGGAUGUGUGGUUAGGAUGAUGGUGGUCCCCAUUUAGAAUGAUAGUGGUCCCCUAGGGUUGAGUAGGUAGUUGGUUGAAUAGUAUGAUCUAAUGAGUGGAAAUGAUUAAAGGAAUAAAUCUAAAGGCUGAAAACUUAUGAGUAUAAGAGAGCCAAUACUCAUAAAAGUAUAGUAGCCGGACUCUAUAUAUAUAUAUAUAUAUAUCCCCCAACUUAUUUUUUUCAAAUAAAUCCACCGUAUAUUUCUCCAUUAUUCAUUCAAAAAUAACCCCGCUGUUAAUACCCGUUAAGUCAUCUCAGGUUAUAUUUUUACAAAGUUACAAAAAAAAUCAAAAUACGUCUUUCGUCCCAAACUUAAGGCGAAUAAGAAAAGUUUGUGAUCGUAGCAGAGUAUAUUUGAAAAGUCAAAAAAUUAAAAUGCCUCUUUUGUCCCAAAAUUAAGAACAAAUAAGAAAAGUCGGUGAAGGCUUGAAAUUGCAAAAUAGUAUUUUCACAGAAAUAACGAUUAUUGUUAACCAUUAACUGAAAGAAUUUAAUUUUAGAGAUAUAAUUGAAAGAAUUUGAGACGUUAAAAAAAGUAUUUUUAACAUUAGCCUUCUAGGCAGGCUAAAUAAAAAGGUCAAAUUGUUUCAAAAGUAUGUAUUUAAGCAAUUAUCCUUUAGGGAUUGUUUGGUUCCACUAAAACUGUGACACCCCAUUAGUCCCACAUCGGAUAGGAAUGGAAUUAUCAUUAGAUAUGUAAGAGAACUCACGUCUAAUAACAAUAAUUGGACUUAAGUAUUUUGGGCCGGUGGUUUAAGCCCAAUGAGUUAUUGUUGCUAAAAAUCAGCCUCUUGAGCCGCGCAUUUUUUAGCAUAGUUUUUGUUUUCCGCCCUCUGUCCGCGGAAAGCGAAAACUUGUUGUUUUCAGAGAAUCUACAAAAUAAUCUUCCAAAAAAGUUUUUUAAAGAAGUUUUACAGGGAUCUAAAGAUUCUAAACACACCCUUACUGAAAUUUUUUUUGUAGUUUAUCCUUAAAAAAAAAAAAGGUAAACUUUAAAUACCACCCUUGUGGUUUCGCACUUUCUCACUUUAGUACCAUGUGGUUUAAAGUGUAUCAAGUUAGUGUCCUGUGAUUUUAUUUUUAUUUUUUCGUCAGCUUUUUCGUUAAUAUUUUAUUAAAUUAUAUUAAAAAAACUUCAGAUACCCUACCUAGGUUUAUUGAAUAUUCGCUUUAGUACCAUUUAGCUUUAACUUUGUCACUGAUUUAACAAACAAAAUUAGUGAGAUCAAUAAUAAAAAGAUAAAAAUGAAACCAUAUAACACUAAAUUCAUACACUUUAAAUUAUAGGAUAUUAAAAUGAGAAAAUGUAAAACUACAGAGAUGUUAUUCGAAGUUUUUCCAAAAAAAAAAAAAAAUUGAGUAA
RNAcentral lists this long non-coding RNA (17139 nucleotides) under Ananas comosus (pineapple). RNAcentral describes it as "long non-coding RNA (ACOM_LNC023755)". Lineage: Eukaryota; Viridiplantae; Streptophyta; Magnoliopsida; Poales; Bromeliaceae. The record is from RNAcentral.